AAAGGACCGGCGUCCAAAUAAUGCCUCGCGCUAUUCCCUGUACGUCAAGCUGUGACCCGCAAGGGUAGCCUCGGAGCCUUUGCUCCUGCAGGAGUACGUGCACGGAAACUGUGGGGGU
Molecule: non-coding RNA, 118 nt
Filed under: unclassified sequences
Description: Flavobacterium-1 RNA
Rfam family: Flavobacterium-1 RNA
Source: Rfam by way of RNAcentral